RNAcentral lists this long non-coding RNA (286 nucleotides) under Carica papaya (papaya). Its description in RNAcentral is "long non-coding RNA (CPAP_LNC015059)". The record is from RNAcentral. Lineage: Eukaryota; Viridiplantae; Streptophyta; Magnoliopsida; Brassicales; Caricaceae.
CUGGGUAAAGUUGUAAGCUCUGCCCUGGAUAGGAGUCCUCCCUUGAUUCUGGUUCCUCGGGCAUUCUCUAGCAUAAUGCUGGGCACUGCCACAAAUGCGACAAAUGUUGUUGAGGCGGUAGCAGGUCCCCGUGAUCUCUGCCGCAGUGUUGACAGAUUUUCCCACGUGCUGCCCCUAGGGCUUGAGGAGGGGCCUGGAUGGCUGGUCUGGGCCUCUUAUUUGGCUGGGUAGGUGCGGUAGGUGCUGGCCUGCGGAACGGAGCUAAGGGUCGGGAACUCCCUCCUGG